RNAcentral lists this ribosomal RNA (447 nucleotides) under uncultured bacterium. Its description in RNAcentral is "bacterial SSU rRNA". It matches the Rfam family "Bacterial small subunit ribosomal RNA", at positions 29 to 521 of the family's 1533-position model. The record is from RNAcentral.
AACGAACGCUGGCGGCAUGCCUAACACAUGCAAGUCGAACGAGACCUUCGGGUCUAGUGGCGCACGGGUGCGUAACGCGUGGGAAUCUGCCCUUCGGUUCGGAAUAACUCAGGGAAACUUGAGCUAAUACCGGAUAAUGACGUAAGUCCAAAGAUUUAUCGCUGAAGGAUGAGCCCGCGUAGGAUUAGCUUGUUGGUGGGGUAAUGGCCCACCAAGGCGACGAUCCUUAGCUGGUCUGAGAGGAUGAUCAGCCACACUGGGACUGAGACACGGCCCAGACUCCUACGGGAGGCAGCAGUGGGGAAUAUUGGACAAUGGGCGAAAGCCUGAUCCAGCAAUGCCGCGUGAGUGAUGAAGGCCUUAGGGUUGUAAAGCUCUUUUACCCGGGAUGAUAAUGACAGUACCGGGAGAAUAAGCUCCGGCUAACUCCGUGCCAGCAGCCGCGGU